RNAcentral lists this ribosomal RNA (541 nucleotides) under Pseudomonas sp. hata86. Its description in RNAcentral is "bacterial SSU rRNA". It matches the Rfam family "Bacterial small subunit ribosomal RNA", at positions 133 to 668 of the family's 1533-position model. The record is from RNAcentral. Lineage: Bacteria; Pseudomonadati; Pseudomonadota; Gammaproteobacteria; Pseudomonadales; Pseudomonadaceae.
GUAGUGGGGGACAACGUCUCGAAAGGGACGCUAAUACCGCAUACGUCCUACGGGAGAAAGUGGGGGCUCUUCGGACCUCACGCUAUCAGAUGAGCCUAGGUCGGAUUAGCUAGUUGGUGAGGUAAUGGCUCACCAAGGCGACGAUCCGUAACUGGUCUGAGAGGAUGAUCAGUCACACUGGAACUGAGACACGGUCCAGACUCUAUACGGGAGGCAGCAGUGGGGAAUAUUGGACAAUGGGCGAAAGCCUGAUCCAGCCAUGCCGCGUGUGUGAAGAAGGUCUUCGGAUUGUAAAGCACUUUAAGUUGGGAGGAAGGGUUGUACGUUAAUACCGUGCAAUUUUGACGUUACCGACAGAAUAAGCACCGGCUAACUCUGUGCCAGCAGCCGCGGUAAUACAGAGGGUGCAAGCGUUAAUCGGAAUUACUGGGCGUAAAGCGCGCGUAGGUGGUUUGUUAAGUUGGAUGUGAAAUCCCCGGGCUCAACCUGGGAACUGCAUCCAAAACUGGCAAGCUAGAGUAGGGCAGAGGGUGGUGGAAUU